AAUGACCAGCAAAAGCAAACAAAAGGGAAAUCAUCAAACAAAAUGAAUAAGAGUAGUCACUACUCACCCAUGUGUGAGCAACUUCUGUUUGUCCCUCCAUUAUAAAUACUCCCCAAACUCUCCCAUUCAACUUAUCCUUAUCAGCUAUAGCUACCUUUCAUUCCUCCAACACUCAUUUCUCUACCUUGUACUAUCAUUAUAUUCUUAAAGCAAUUCCAAAAAUUCUUCAUUUUCAACUUGCCAAUCUAUUGAUCAACAAUAUGAGGUACACUUCAGCUACCAGAAAAUACCAUGGUGGUCAUUAUAAGUUUCAUCAUCAAGAUGCAUGGAAUCCCCAUAACAGUUUUCAUGAUGAAGACAAUAUUAGUGAAGAAAGAAGCAACUAUUCAUCAUUAUCAUCAAACAUCAAGUUUUAAGGACUUUUCGGUGCUAUCCUACCUGAGCUUUAUUACUCAUUUCGCUUUUUAAUACUUUUUCUUUUUUUCUUGACCUUGUAAGACCUUUUCUUGACCUUGUAAGACCUAGUUUAAACCAAUUAAUCUUAAUCUCUAGCCGAACCAUGUUAUCUUUCUUGAAACCAUGGUUUGGCUUGUAAGGUGAUAGGGUUCAGAAUCUCCUUCCAACUCAUCAUCUCCUCUUCUAUCUAUCCCUCCUGAGCUGAUUAUCAUGUAUUUAUAUCAUGUAUAUAUGAAAAAUGUAUAAUGAUGUUUUAUGAGAAUUAAUAAUAACCCUCAUUUCAAGCAGACCUUGUAUUUUUAAAAAAAAUACAUUAGUAUAUACUUCCUUCAA
Molecule: long non-coding RNA, 789 nt
Organism: Amaranthus tricolor (Joseph's coat)
Lineage: Eukaryota; Viridiplantae; Streptophyta; Magnoliopsida; Caryophyllales; Amaranthaceae
Exons: 2
Source: RefSeq, a predicted model, not a curated record